CCUACGGGAGGCUGCAGUAGGGAAUAUUGCUCAAUGGGGGAAACCCUGAAGCAGCAACGCCGCGUGGAGGAUGAAGGUUUUCGGAUUGUAAACUCCUUUUGUUAGAGAAGAUAAUGACGGUAUCUAACGAAUAAGCACCGGCUAACUCCGUGCCAGCAGCCGCGUUAAUACGGAGGGUGCAAGCGUUACUCGGAAUCACUGGGCGUAAAGCGCGCGUAGGCGGGAUAGCAAGUCAGAUGUGAAAUCCUAUGGCUUAACCAUAGAACUGCAUUUGAAACUGUUAGUCUAGAGUAUGGGAGAGGUAGGUGGAAUUCGUGGUGUAGGGGUAAAAUCCGUAGAGAUCAAGAGGAAUACUCAUUGCGAAGGCGACCUGCUAGAACAUAACUGACGCUGAUGCGCGAAAGCGUGGGGAGCAAACAGGAUUAGAUACCCGAGUAGUC
This 440-nucleotide ribosomal RNA is filed under the name uncultured bacterium. Its description in RNAcentral is "partial 16S ribosomal RNA". It matches the Rfam family "Bacterial small subunit ribosomal RNA", at positions 338 to 795 of the family's 1533-position model. The record is from RNAcentral.